RNAcentral lists this ribosomal RNA (402 nucleotides) under uncultured prokaryote. RNAcentral describes it as "bacterial SSU rRNA". It matches the Rfam family "Bacterial small subunit ribosomal RNA", at positions 355 to 774 of the family's 1533-position model. The record is from RNAcentral.
UGAGGAAUAUUGCACAAUGGGGGAAACCCUGAUGCAGCAACGCCGCGUGAGUGAUGACGGCCUUCGGGUUGUAAAGCUCUGUCUUCAGGGACGAUAAUGACGGUACCUGAGGAGGAAGCCACGGCUAACUACGUGCCAGCAGCCGCGGUAAUACGUAGGUGGCGAGCGUUGUCCGGAUUUACUGGGCGUAAAGGGAGCGUAGGCGGACUUUUAAGUGAGAUGUGAAAUACCCGGGCUCAACUUGGGUGCUGCAUUUCAAACUGGAAGUCUAGAGUGCAGGAGAGGAGAAUGGAAUUCCUAGUGGAGCGGUGAAAUUCGUAGAGAUCGGGAGGAACACCAGCGGCGCAGGCGGCUCACUAGACAGUUUCUGACGCUAAGAUACGAAAGCGUGGGGAGCAAACA